Mycena leptocephala is the source of this 99-nucleotide non-coding RNA. Lineage: Eukaryota; Fungi; Basidiomycota; Agaricomycetes; Agaricales; Mycenaceae. The record is from the annotation of a GenBank genome assembly.
GGCCCAAUAGCACAGUUGGUUUGUGCGCUUGCUGUAAAUGAUUCGAAAGAGAAUAUCUUUGUAAGCAGGAGGUCCCUCGUUCGAUCCGGGGUUGGGCCA